UGGGGAAUAUUGCACAAUGGGCGCAAGCCUGAUGCAGCCAUGCCGCGUGUAUGAAGAAGGCCUUCGGGUUGUAAAGUACUUUCAGCGGGGAGGAAGGGAGUAAAGUUAAUACCUUUGCUCAUUGACGUUACCCGCAGAAGAAGCACCGGCUAACUCCGUGCCAGCAGCCGCGGUAAUACGGAGGGUGCAAGCGUUAAUCGGAAUUACUGGGCGUAAAGCGCACGCAGGCGGUUUGUUAAGUCAGAUGUGAAAUCCCCGGGCUCAACCUGGGAACUGCAUCUGAUACUGGCAAGCUUGAGUCUCGUAGAGGGGGGUAGAAUUCCAGGUGUAGCGGUGAAAUGCGUAGAGAUCUGGAGGAAUACCGGUGGCGCAGGCGGCCCCCUGGACGAAGACUGACGCUCAGGUGCGAAAGCGUGGGGAGCAAACAGG
RNAcentral lists this ribosomal RNA (429 nucleotides) under Chloroflexota bacterium. RNAcentral's name for it is "Chloroflexi bacterium partial 16S ribosomal RNA". It matches the Rfam family "Bacterial small subunit ribosomal RNA", at positions 355 to 776 of the family's 1533-position model. Lineage: Bacteria; Bacillati; Chloroflexota. The record is from RNAcentral.